RNAcentral lists this transfer RNA (72 nucleotides) under Camelus bactrianus (Bactrian camel). It matches the Rfam family "tRNA". From Rfam's summary of the family: Transfer RNA (tRNA) molecules are approximately 80 nucleotides in length. RNAcentral also lists the same sequence under 1 other name. Lineage: Eukaryota; Metazoa; Chordata; Mammalia; Artiodactyla; Camelidae. The record is from Rfam by way of RNAcentral.
GUGGGUAUAGCUCAGUGGUAGAGCGCAUGCUUAGCAUACAUGAGGUCUUGGGUUCAAGUCCCAGUAUCUCCA